Hemiscyllium ocellatum (epaulette shark) is the source of this 498-nucleotide long non-coding RNA. RefSeq lists it as uncharacterized. The record is from RefSeq and is a predicted model, not a curated record. The transcript has 3 exons. NCBI's taxonomy places the organism in Eukaryota, Metazoa, Chordata, Chondrichthyes, Orectolobiformes, Hemiscylliidae.
GGUCCGGGGAUCCUUCUUCAGAACAGGACCAGGUUUCAGAAACAUCCCGGGGAGGUCGCCAGGUCCGAGCGCCAAGACCUGGCUCCUGCCCCCGGGGAGAGGAGACAGUGAGACAGGUGUGACCUAUUUGGAUAGGGCAAGGCUUACCAGGGUAGCCCACAGCACAACUGGUAUCAAACUGGCACACAACACCUUUACAGGGUAAGGAUAUCAAAACUGAGCACCGUGUUCAAGAUGUAGUCCCACCAAUGCUCUGUAACUGAGGCAUAAUCUCCUUACAUUUAUGUCAUUGGCCUUUCUAAUCACUUGCUGCGCUUGCAUUCUAACUUGUGACUUUGCAAGGCCCCUGGAUCCCUCUGCAUCUCAGAAUUAUGCGGUUGUUCUCCAAAUAGGUAAUAAAUUGCAUUUUACCAUAUUGUACACCACUUGCAAGAGUUUUGCUUAUUUAUUUAACCAAUCUAACAAUCUGCAUCCUUGAUAUGUCAUCCCCACAAUGUA